GACGAACGCUGGCGGCGUGCCUAAUACAUGCAAGUAGAACGCUGAAGGAGGAGCUUGCUUCUCUGGAUGAGUUGCGAACGGGUGAGUAACGCGUAGGUAACCUGCCUGGUAGCGGGGGAUAACUAUUGGAAACGAUAGCUAAUACCGCAUAAUAGUAGAUGUUGCAUGACAUUUGCUUAAAAGGUGCAAUUGCAUCACUACCAGAUGGACCUGCGUUGUAUUAGCUAGUUGGUGGGGUAACGGCUCACCAAGGCGACGAUACAUAGCCGACCUGAGAGGGUGAUCGGCCACACUGGGACUGAGACACGGCCCAGACUCCUACGGGAGGCAGCAGUAGGGAAUCUUCGGCAAUGGACGGAAGUCUGACCGAGCAACGCCGCAUGAGUGAAGAAGGUUUUCGGAUCGUAAAGCUCUGUUGUAAGAGAAGAACGAGUGUGAGAGUGGAAAGUUCACACUGUGACGGUAUCUUACCAGAAAGGGACGGCUAACUACGUG
Molecule: ribosomal RNA, 495 nt
Filed under: uncultured bacterium
Lineage: Bacteria
Description: partial 16S ribosomal RNA
Rfam family: Bacterial small subunit ribosomal RNA
Source: RNAcentral